Molecule: ribosomal RNA, 475 nt
Filed under: unidentified nematode Sourhope farm
Lineage: Eukaryota; Metazoa; Nematoda
Description: SSU rRNA
Rfam family: Eukaryotic small subunit ribosomal RNA
Source: RNAcentral
UCUAAGUAUAACCUGCCAGACAGGGAAACUGCGUACGGCUCAUUACACCAGCCUUAAUUUACUUGACCUUGACAACCUACUUGGAUAACUGUGGUAAUUCUAGAGCUAAUACAUGCACCAAAGCUCCGAUCCUCGCGGAGAGGAGCGCAUUUGUUCGCCACAAAACCAAGCGCCCAUCUGGGCGUCCAGUGCUGAACCAGAACAACUCAGCUGAUCGCACGGUCUUGUACCGGCGACGUGUCUUUCAAGUGUCUGCCUUAUCAACUUUCGAUGGUAGUGUACCUGACUACCAUGGUUGUGACGGGUAACGGAGGAUAAGGGUUCGACUCCGGAGAAGGGGCCUGAGAAAUGGCCACUACGUCUAAGGAUGGCAGCAGGCGCGCAAAUUACCCACUCUCAACGCGAGGAGGUAGUGACGAGAAAUAACGAGACCGUUCUCAUACGAGGCCGGUUAUUGGAAUGGGUACAAUUUAAA